UACUCGAGUGGCGAACGGGUGAGUAACACGUGGGUGAUCUGCCCUGCACUUUGGGAUAAGCCUGGGAAACUGGGUCUAAUACCGAAUAUGACCGCGCACUUCMUGGUGUGUGGUGGAAAGCUUUUGCGGUGUGGGAUGGGCCCGCGGCCUAUCAGCUUGUUGGUGGGGUAAUGGCCUACCAAGGCGACGACGGGUAGCCGGCCUGAGAGGGUGACCGGCCACACUGGGACUGAGAUACGGCCCAGACUCCUACGGGAGGCAGCAGUGGGGAAUAUUGCACAAUGGGCGCAAGCCUGAUGCAGCGACGCCGCGUGAGGGAUGACGGCCUUCGGGUUGUAAACCUCUUUCAAUAGGGACGAAGCGCAAGUGACGGUACCUAUAGAAGAAGGACCGGCCAACUACGUGCCAGCAGCCGCGGUAAUACGUAGGGUCCGAGCGUUGUCCGGAAUUACUGGGCGUAAAGAGCUCGUAGGUGGUUUGUCGCGUUGUUCGUGAAAACUCACAGCUUAACUGUGGGCGUGCGGGCGAUACGGGCAGACUAGAGUACUGCAGGGGAGACUGGAAUUCCUGGUGUAGCGGUGGAAUGCGCAGAUAUCAGGAGGAACACCGGUGGCGAAGGCGGGUCUCUGGGCAGUAACUGACGCUGAGGAGCGAAAGCGUGGGGAGCGAACAGGAUUAGAUACCCUGGUAGUCCACGCCGUAAACGGUGGGUACUAGGUGUGGGUUUCCUUCCUUGGGAUCCGUGCCGUAGCUAACGCAUUAAGUACCCCGCCUGGGGAGUACGGCCGCAAGGCUAAAACUCAAAGAAAUUGACGGGGGCC
RNAcentral lists this ribosomal RNA (821 nucleotides) under Mycobacterium sp. ITM091079. Its description in RNAcentral is "bacterial SSU rRNA". It matches the Rfam family "Bacterial small subunit ribosomal RNA", at positions 88 to 921 of the family's 1533-position model. Lineage: Bacteria; Bacillati; Actinomycetota; Actinomycetes; Mycobacteriales; Mycobacteriaceae. The record is from RNAcentral.